AGUGAACGCUGGCGGCGUGCCUAAUACAUGCAAGUCGAACGAAGUGGCGCGCGGGUGAGUAAUAUAUAGUUAAUCUGCCCUACACAGAGGAACAACAGCUGGAAACGACUGCUAAUACCUCAUAUUGUAGGAUGAUAGUAUAUCGUAUCAGCUAGUUGGUAAGGUAAUGGCUGACCAAGGCUAUGACGCGUAACUGGUCGGAGAGGAUGAUCAGUCACAUUGGAACGGAGGCACGGUCCAAACUCCUACGGGAAGCAGCAGUAAGGAAUAUUGCGCAAUGGGGGAAACCCUGACGCGGCAACGCCGCGUGGAGGAUGACACUUUGGGGAGCAUAAACUCCUUUUAUCAGGAAAGCGGUACCUGAUGAAUAAGCACCGGCUAACUCCGUGCCAGCAGCCGCGGUAAUUC
This 408-nucleotide ribosomal RNA is filed under the name uncultured bacterium. RNAcentral's name for it is "partial 16S ribosomal RNA". It matches the Rfam family "Bacterial small subunit ribosomal RNA", at positions 29 to 526 of the family's 1533-position model. The record is from RNAcentral.